AAGAUGGCGACCGGCGCACGGGUGAGUAACACGUAUCCAACCUGCCGAUAACUCUGGAAUAGCCUUUCGAAAGAAAGAUUAAUACCGGAUGGCAUACGAAUAUCACAUGAUAUUUUUAUUAAAGAAUUUCGGUUAUCGAUGGGGAUGCGUUCCAUUAGUUUGUUGGCGGGGUAACGGCCCACCAAGACAACGAUGGAUAGGGGUUCUGAGAGGAAGGUCCCCCACAUUGGAACUGAGACACGGUCCAA
This 248-nucleotide ribosomal RNA is filed under the name uncultured bacterium. RNAcentral's name for it is "partial 16S ribosomal RNA". It matches the Rfam family "Bacterial small subunit ribosomal RNA", at positions 85 to 334 of the family's 1533-position model. The record is from RNAcentral.